Hemicordylus capensis (graceful crag lizard) is the source of this 2812-nucleotide RNA transcript. It is a transcript of the gene named zinc and ring finger 1, with no coding region annotated. The record is from RefSeq and is a predicted model, not a curated record. Lineage: Eukaryota; Metazoa; Chordata; Lepidosauria; Squamata; Cordylidae. The transcript has 6 exons.
CGCCUCGUCCGUCCACGCCAAGGGCGCUUCCUCGGCGCCGCCCCGUCCGGGCGCCCCCCGCUUGCUCAGCCCUUGACGCAACCCGGGGGCGGGGAGCACCCCCGGCGCAUGCGCCCUGCGCAGCCCUAUUGUCUCUCUCGCUUCCCUGCCACCCCCCGCCCCCGACAGCCGUCAGGAGGACUGGCUGGACCGACGGCGCGGCGGCCCCAGCAGCAGCGCAGGACAAAGGCGGCCUCCUCCUCCUCCCCGGGCAGGGCGGCCCAGCGAGCCAGCCGGAGCAGCGCCGGGAAGGAAGGCCGCCCUUGCGCCAUGGCCGGCCCGGGCGCGCCUUGACGGGCGGAGCGGCUGCCGGCCUCUGCUCGCCUCGCCUCCGGGCCUCGCCUCCCUUUCCCGGAUGCGGAGCCGCGCCGGAGGAGCCGCGCAGGGCCGCCGCCGCCAGAGCAGCAGCGGCUGCUCGGGCUCGCCUUCGUCGUAGGGCGCGCCCCGAGGGCGGGGCGGCGGCGAGGGCUCCACUGCCUGGCCGCCGUGGAUGAGCCCGGCGGGAGGCGCAGCGGCGGGCCGCCCGGCGGGGCGCGGCGGCUGGGGCAGAAGGAGGCGGCGACGGCGGAGCGGCGGCAGGAGGAGGAGAAGGAUGCCCGGGGGCUGCCCCCGCGAGGGCUGCCCUAGCUGCUGCUGCUGCUGCUGCGGCCGCCGCCGCCGCUCCUAGCUGCUGCGCGCUGCUCCUCCUCCCGCUCUCCUCCUCCCGGUCGGCGGCAUGGGCGGCAAGCAGAGCACGGCGGGCGCGGCGACGGCAGCGGGGCGCUCUCGGGGCGGCGGCGGCGGCGGCGGGCCCCUGGCCGGGGUCUCGAGCGACGACAGUGCGGUGCCGCCGCCCGGAGGAGCCCCCCACUUCGGGCACUACCGGGGCGCGGGCGGCGGCGGCGGCGGAGGGACGGCGAUGGGCUUGCGCAGCCGCUCCGUCAGCUCCGUGGCCGGCGUGGGCAUGGGCAUCGGCGUGGAGCCCGCGGCGGCCGGCAGCGUCCCCUUCGGCCUCUACACGGCGGCCUCGACGGCGGCAGCGGGGGCCGCGGCGCCCGGGGACUCGGAGCGGGGUCCCGGCGGCGCCGACUCCACCCCCUACGCCCAUGGCAACGGUUACCAGGAGACGGGAGGCAGUCACCACAGAGACGGGAUGCUCUACCUGGGCUCCAGGGCCUCGCUGGCCGAUGCGCUGCCGCUCCACUUCGGACCCCGGUGGUUCAGCUCGCACAGCGGCUUCAAGUGUCCCAUCUGCUCCAAAUCCGUGGCUUCCGACGAAAUGGAAAUGCACUUUAUCAUGUGUCUGAGCAAGCCUCGCCUCUCCUACAAUGAUGAUGUACUCACGAAGGACGCGGGCGAGUGUGUCAUCUGCCUGGAGGAGCUCCUGCAAGGGGACACGAUAGCCCGCCUUCCUUGCCUGUGCAUUUACCACAAGAGCUGUAUAGAUUCCUGGUUUGAAGUGAACAGAUCCUGCCCGGAACACCCUUCGGAUUGACCUCUCCCAAGUAAGAACAUGAAACACAAAAGAAAAGCCCUCAGAGGAGGUAGAUAUAGGAUGGCAUGAUAAAACGGAGGUUCUCCAACAUGGGCCGCGAAUGUCGUGGGGACUCCAGCUCCCAUCUCCAAAGCGCCAGACAAAAACUUUGACAGUCCACUUGCCAGUCCCCCUCGCCAUCCAUCCUCCCGCACCCACCCAGCCUCCUUCAAGCCAGCUCCGGAAUCCACCCGGAUGACCAUGGGGUGGGGGUUGAUGUUCCUUCUGGACUUCAAGGGCAGACCAGACCCCAAAGCGAAGCUGCCCCCUUUGCAGGGCCACGCCUCGGCAGCCGCCAGCCUGCGGGGAGAGGAGCGCCAUGCCCAAGGGCCAGAGGACGCCAGCCCUCCCAGCGGCGCCAUGAUGUUUGGUCCAGACCUGGCUGCUAGCCAAACGGAGCACGAGAGCGAGCGAGUCGGAGAGCGUUGCCACCGGUCAAGGACUCGGACCCGUCGCCAGAGGGCGGCUCACACUUUUGCACUGACAAGGUGGUUUUCCCCCCCUUCUCCUCCCCCCCACCCCACAACCACUGGAGCAGGAAGAGGACACCAUCACCGCCAUCCCGGCCUACCCCCCCCCCCCCCCACUUUCGGAGGAGGAAAGGGCGUUUUUCUGUCACGUUUUUGGAGGCGUCGUAGGUUUGUCUUUCAAGUGUUUACAAAAACAGCCAUUUUCGUGUCAACUGGUGUGUGUUCCUGGUGAUGUUUACAAGACUGCAUCCUUCUGGCCUCCCCGCUGGCGCGGUUUAGCCACUGAACAGCCGAGACCCGUCUCUUCUCUUCCCCGCCCCUCUGCCCCCCACCUGGGGGCACCCCACCUCAUGGCCAAACGUCCCCUGGUUUUUUCUCCCUUCCUUUUUCUUGGUUUGGUCUCCCCACUCCGGGGGGGGGGGGGCUUGGGGGGCCUUCAGAAGGGCUGUUGCUAAGAGGCCUGAACCUUUUCUUGGCCCUGUGUGGAAAAACAAACAAAACCAAUGGUGAUUUCCCCCCCCCCCUCUUAAAAGCCACACUGACACACACCUCUUCCCCUCCCAAUCCACAUUUGAGCACGAAGCAGAGAUUGUUCUCAGCCAUGGGGAAAGCCCCUGCCGGGAGCCUCUAUCCAGCAGGAAAGGGAUCUGUAUUUAUAUAUUAAAAGGAAAAAAAACUUUAAAGUUACAAACAAAAACUUCAAAGCUUGGGAAGGGAAGCUUCCCCUAUUAGUCAAAGUGUUUUGAUAUGGUAUUAAAUAAUGUUCAAUAAAAUAGUCACUGUUAUUUUA